This 424-nucleotide ribosomal RNA is filed under the name uncultured Planctomycetaceae bacterium. RNAcentral's name for it is "partial 16S ribosomal RNA". It matches the Rfam family "Bacterial small subunit ribosomal RNA", at positions 355 to 774 of the family's 1533-position model. Lineage: Bacteria; Pseudomonadati; Planctomycetota; Planctomycetia; Planctomycetales; Planctomycetaceae. The record is from RNAcentral.
UCGAGAAUCUUCGGCAAUGGGCGCAAGCCUGACCGAGCGACGCCGCGUGCGGGAUGAAGGCCUUCGGGUUGUAAACCGCUGUCAGUGCGGAGGAAAUAUAGAGGGGUUCUCCCCUUUAUUUGACCUAUGCGCAGAGGAAGGACGGGCUAAGUUCGUGCCAGCAGCCGCGGUAAGACGAACCGUCCAAACGUUAUUCGGAAUUACUGGGCUUAAAGGGUGCGUAGGCGGUCCUGUAAGUUGGGUGUGAAAGACCUCGGCCUAACCGAGGAAUUGCGCCCAAAACUGCCGGACUCGAGCAAGGCAGAGGUGAACGGAACUUAGGGUGGAGCGGUGAAAUGCGUUGAUAUCCUAAGGAACACCAGUAGCGAAAGCGGUUCACUGGGCCUUUUCUGACGCUGAUGCACGAAAGCCAGGGGAGCGAACG